RNAcentral lists this transfer RNA (72 nucleotides) under Ovis aries (sheep). It matches the Rfam family "tRNA". Rfam says of the family: Transfer RNA (tRNA) molecules are approximately 80 nucleotides in length. Their secondary structure includes four short double-helical elements and three loops (D, anti-codon, and T loops). Lineage: Eukaryota; Metazoa; Chordata; Mammalia; Artiodactyla; Bovidae. The record is from Rfam by way of RNAcentral.
UCCCUAGUGGUCUAGUGGUUAGGAUUCUGCACUUCCACUGCCAGAGCCCAGGUUCAAUCCCUGGUUGGGGGG